AACGCUGGCGGCGUGCCUAAUACAUGCAAGUCGAGCGCGGGAAGCGGACAAUCACCCUUCGGGGUGUGCGUCCGUGGAACGAGCGGCGGAUGGGUGAGUAUCACGUGGGCAACCUGCCUGUAAGAUUGGGAUAACUCGCGGAAACGUGAGCUAAUACCGAAUGAAGUCUUUCGCCGCCUGGUGAAAGGAUGAAAGAUGGCUCUUGAGCUAUCACUUACAGAUGGGCCCGCGGCGCAUUAGCUAGUUGGUGGGGUAAAGGCCUACCAAGGCGACGAUGCGUAGCCGACCUGAGAGGGUGAUCGGCCACACUGGGACUGAGACACGGCCCAGACUCCUACGGGAGGCAGCAGUAGGGAAUCUUCCGCAAUGGACGAAAGUCUGACGGAGCAACGCCGCGUGAGUGAUGGAGGUCUUCGGAUCGUAAAACUCUGUUGUCAGGGAAGAACAAGUUGUGUUCUAACAGGACAUGACCUUGACGGUACCUGACCAGAAAGCCCCGGCUAACUACGUGCCAGCAGCGGC
RNAcentral lists this ribosomal RNA (522 nucleotides) under uncultured bacterium. RNAcentral describes it as "bacterial SSU rRNA". It matches the Rfam family "Bacterial small subunit ribosomal RNA", at positions 32 to 518 of the family's 1533-position model. The record is from RNAcentral.